UCUGCGGGUGAGAAACUUCCAUGUGGCUCGCCUUUGGAGCGCCAAGGACCUUGCACGAAGAGGCGAGAGGCCAGUGGGCGGAAUAACGUGUGGGGAGCCAGGCAUGUGAAAAGGUGAAAGGGUAAUGAGGACCCAGAGUGGUUCCUGGGAGAGGCAUGCUGACACCGGGGGUGGCUAGCUUGGCCCCGCGCCGAGCUGGGCUUUCUGGAGUGUGAGUGUGCAUGGGGUGCACCCAGGGUCCUUGAUGACUUCUCAUGCCAGUGUUAUUUAUAAACAGAUCUCAAGACUGGAAAGCUCUAACCCAGUGCCCCAAGCCUUAGGUCUUCCAUACCCCGGCAGCGGGCCCCGCCCCUCGGUUUCCCAACCUGCCUGACCCCGCCCUGCCUCUCCUAACUCCUCCCAGGCCCCGCCUCCGCCGCUUCCCACAGCCCUUCCCGUCGGCUCCUGGCUCCAGGCUCCCACCCGGCUCGGCGGAGGUGGAAGCGCGCAGGCGCCGUUGGCGGCAGGCAGAGUGCGGAGUAGCGGCGCGGGGUGCGCGAGGGAUUCAUCAUCCAAGGAUCUACCGGAGACCACAGGAAAACAUGGGAAGGUUGGUGAAAGCAGUGAACAGAUACUGGCUUUCUCAGACUUCAACCAGAGAGUCUCAAAAGGCAGUUUUCAUAUGACUAACAACAGAA
This 677-nucleotide long non-coding RNA is filed under the name Capra hircus (goat). Its description in RNAcentral is "lncRNA (ENSCHIG00010025575.1)". The record is from RNAcentral. Lineage: Eukaryota; Metazoa; Chordata; Mammalia; Artiodactyla; Bovidae.